CGAUUAUCCAGAGAAGUUGAGGGACUUGGCCCUAUGACACUUCAGCAACCUCUACCUACGUAGAAAGGUGCUAAUUCCAGACAGAUAAGAG
This 91-nucleotide non-coding RNA is filed under the name Caryophanon tenue. RNAcentral describes it as "SAM-I sequence". It matches the Rfam family "SAM riboswitch aptamer (S box leader)". Rfam says of the family: The SAM riboswitch is found upstream of a number of genes which code for proteins involved in methionine or cysteine biosynthesis in Gram-positive bacteria. The SAM riboswitch acts at the level of transcription termination control. Lineage: Bacteria; Bacillati; Bacillota; Bacilli; Caryophanales; Caryophanaceae. The record is from Rfam by way of RNAcentral.